AGAGUUUGAUCAUGGCUCAGGACGAACGCUGGCGGCGUGCUUAACACAUGCAAGUCGAGCGGAAAGGCCCUUCGGGGUACUCGAGCGGCGAACGGGUGAGUAACACGUGAGGAAUCUGCCCCUAGCUCUGGGAUAGCCUCGGGAAACCGGGAUUAAUACCGGAUACGACCACAGACGGCAUCGGCUGUGGUGGAAAGAUUUAUCGGCUAGGGAUGGCCUCGCGGCCUAUCAGCUUGUUGGUGGGGUAACGGCCUACCAAGGCGACGACGGGUAGCCGGCCUGAGAGGGCGACCGGCCACACUGGGACUGAGACACGGCCCAGACUCCUACGGGAGGCAGCGGUGGGGAAUAUUGCGCAAUGGGCGAAAGCCUGACGCAGCAACGCCGCGUGGGGGAUGAAGGCCUUCGGGUUGUAAACCCCUUUCAGCAGGGACGAAGCGAGAGUGACGGUACCUGCAGAAGAAGCGCCGGCUAACUACGUGCCAGCAGCCGCGGUAAUACGUAGGGCGCGAGCGUUGUCCGGAAUUAUUGGGCGUAAAGAGCUCGUAGGUGGUCUGUUACGUCUGCUGUGAAAACCUAGGGCUUAACCCUGGGCUUGCAGUGGAUACGGGCAGACUAGAGGUAGGUAGGGGAGAAUGGAAUUCCCGGUGUAGCGGUGAAAUGCGCAGAUAUCGGGAGGAACACCGGUGGCGAAGGCGGUUCUCUGGGCCUUACCUGACACUGAGGAGCGAAAGCGUGGGGAGCGAACAGGAUUAGAUACCCUAGUAGUCC
This 771-nucleotide ribosomal RNA is filed under the name uncultured bacterium. RNAcentral's name for it is "bacterial SSU rRNA". It matches the Rfam family "Bacterial small subunit ribosomal RNA", at positions 8 to 796 of the family's 1533-position model. The record is from RNAcentral.